CCCAGACUCCUACGGGAGGCAGCAGUGAGGAAUAUUGGUCAAUGGGCGAGAGCCUGAACCAGCCAAGUCGCGUGAGGGAGUACUGCCCUAUGGGUUGUAAACCUCUUUUGUCGGGGAGCAAAAGCCGGACGUGUCCGGCUGUGAGAGUACCCGAAGAAAAAGCAUCGGCUAACUCCGUGCCAGCAGCCGCGGUAAUACGGAGGAUGCGAGCGUUAUCCGGAUUUAUUGGGUUUAAAGGGUGCGCGGGCGGAUUUUAAGGUCGGUGGUAAAAUGGUGGGCCCCACCCCCUCCCCGCCAUUGAAACUGGCGCUCUUGAGUGGAAGAGAAGUAUGCGGAAUGCGUGGUGUAGCGGUGAAAUGCAUAGAUAUCACGCAGAACCCCGAUUGCGAAGGCAGCAUGCCGGCUUCCGACUGACGCUGAAGCACGAAAGCGUGGGGAUCGAACAGGAUUAGAUACCCGAGUA
RNAcentral lists this ribosomal RNA (463 nucleotides) under uncultured bacterium. RNAcentral's name for it is "bacterial SSU rRNA". It matches the Rfam family "Bacterial small subunit ribosomal RNA", at positions 330 to 792 of the family's 1533-position model. The record is from RNAcentral.